RNAcentral lists this ribosomal RNA (253 nucleotides) under uncultured bacterium. RNAcentral's name for it is "partial 16S ribosomal RNA". It matches the Rfam family "Bacterial small subunit ribosomal RNA", at positions 524 to 776 of the family's 1533-position model. The record is from RNAcentral.
UACGGAGGGUGCAAGCGUUAUCCGGAUUCACUGGGUUUAAAGGGUGCGUAGGUUGAUGGGGAAGUCAGUGGUGAAAUACUCCGACUCAAUCGGAGAACUGCCGUUGAUACUAUCCAUCUUGAAUACGGUGGAGGCGGGCGGAAUGCGUCAUGUAGUGGUGAAAUACUUAGAUAUGACGCAGAACACCUAUUGCGAAGGCAGCUCGCUACACCGGCAUUGACACUGAGGCACGAAAGCGUGGGGAUCAAACAGG